UGGGGAAUUUUGGACAAUGGGCGCAAGCCUGAUCCAGCCAUGCCGCGUGAGUGAAGAAGGCCUUCGGGUUGUAAAGCUCUUUCGGUGAAGACGAAACGGUUAGCGUUAAUAGCGCUGACUAAUGACGGUACUCACAGAAGAAGCACCGGCUAACUACGUGCCAGCAGCCGCGGUAAUACGUAGGGUGCAGGCGUUAAUCGGAAUUACUGGGCGUAAAGCGUGCGCAGGCGGUUUGCUAAGACAGGUGUGA
Molecule: ribosomal RNA, 250 nt
Filed under: uncultured bacterium
Lineage: Bacteria
Description: partial 16S ribosomal RNA
Rfam family: Bacterial small subunit ribosomal RNA
Source: RNAcentral